CUCAGUGCUGCUGACCGUCUCCACUGUCGUUGAUGAGGAGAGGUGUGUGGUUGGGUCCAGACCUCCUGAAGUCCACAAUGAUCUCUUUUGUGUUGUUGAGUUCAGGAGCAGGUUGUUGGUUCUGCACCAGUCCUACCCUAACUUGGCUGCAGGACACACGGCAGCCAUCUUGGCUAAACCAAAGCAGCAGAAGAAGUUUCAGCACUGCUGGAUAUUUUUGUUCACAUCGAUGGACUGUUGACCUGAGGACUCGGGAAAUAACUUUUCACAAGUUUUGAAGGAAGACACGAUGUGAGGAAGAAGUGGGAAAAUAAGGAGAGACGGAUUCACUGCCCAGGAUGAAUCUGCUGAAUCACUCUGAAUCUAGAACUCCUCGGCUGGAAGACAUGAAAAAUAACCUUUAUAUAUGUUUAUAUAUA
Xiphophorus hellerii (green swordtail) is the source of this 419-nucleotide long non-coding RNA. RefSeq lists it as uncharacterized. The transcript has 2 exons. The record is from RefSeq and is a predicted model, not a curated record. Lineage: Eukaryota; Metazoa; Chordata; Actinopteri; Cyprinodontiformes; Poeciliidae.